This 681-nucleotide long non-coding RNA is filed under the name Medicago truncatula (barrel medic). RNAcentral describes it as "long non-coding RNA (MTRU_LNC003578)". Lineage: Eukaryota; Viridiplantae; Streptophyta; Magnoliopsida; Fabales; Fabaceae. The record is from RNAcentral.
AUGCUCAAAACAGAAAGUAUAGGAACACCAAAAUACAACACUUGAUUUGCUUGACCAAAUAAAGAAGUUUGUAAGAAACAAAGAAUUAAUGGUUGAAACCAUGCUCUUCGUGGAUACUAUCCGACCGGAAAAUAAGAUUAUUAUUUUCUUAAGGAAAAUAAGACCGUUUGACCAAGAUGAGGUACACAAAAAGUAGUAGAAUCUAAAGUAGUAUAUAUAUUGGUAGAAAAUUGUGAUGAUUUAACGAGGCAUUAUAUUCUUGUAUAUUUUCUCCAUGUAAGGUAAUUUUAUUUCAGAUACUAUCAAACACUACUAGAGUAUUUUGUGAAGUGUUUUGCCACUACAGACAUACAUUUUGGUCAAUUUUUUGUGUGUGUGGUGGAAUCAAGAAGCUUCUAAAAGUAGCUUUACACAAACACAUACUAGUGGCUCUUAGAUGUGGAAACAAACAUACAUAGGUUAAAAAUGGAGGCAUUUCUCAAUCAUGGUUUAAACAUUGAUUCAAUAUAUUGUGAGAGAGACUAACUCAUUUGUUAGACCAAACUUGAGUUGGUGGAUACUUGUCCAUAUUUAAUGGUAGUAUGCAUUAAAGUUAUAUAGGAGCACGGUGAAUCUAUCAUAUCAAUAUUUUAAGAGUGUAGUUGAUAUUAUAGACUACAUAUAUCAUUAAUUGAAUAUGAA